CUUCAGAUGGAUGAUCCCAAGCCUUCUGGCGACCUGACAGAUUGUAAGGUGCGUAGCCGGUUAGGUUUGCCGGUGAAUGUGAAUUUGCCGAGGGCUUGUAGCUCAGUUGGUUAGAGCGCGCGCUUGAUAAGCGUGAGGUCGGAGGUUCAAGUCCUCCCAGGCCCACCAUAUUGCGCUCACUGUUUGGAGUUAGCAUAUAAGAUUGCUAUGAACUCAAAUGGAUGUGAGUAUAUAAAAGUAUUAGGGGCCAUAGCUCAGCUGGGAGAGCACCUGCUUUGCAAGCAGGGGGCCCGUCGGUUC
RNAcentral lists this transfer RNA (300 nucleotides) under uncultured Bartonella sp. Its description in RNAcentral is "partial miscellaneous RNA". The stretch from base 92 to 165 matches the Rfam family "tRNA". Lineage: Bacteria; Pseudomonadati; Pseudomonadota; Alphaproteobacteria; Hyphomicrobiales; Bartonellaceae. The record is from RNAcentral.